UCUCCAUUUCACGUGCUCUCUCGUCGAUCAGACAGCGCGAGAUAGCAUGGGAAAUGAAGAGA
Molecule: microRNA precursor, 62 nt
Filed under: Pristionchus pacificus
Lineage: Eukaryota; Metazoa; Nematoda; Chromadorea; Rhabditida; Neodiplogasteridae
Description: mir-8364 microRNA precursor family
Rfam family: mir-8364 microRNA precursor family
Source: Rfam by way of RNAcentral